AGAGUUUGAUCCUGGCUCAGGAUGAACGCUGGCGGCGUGCUUAACACAUGCAAGUCGAACGAACCUUCGGGUUAGUGGCGGACGGGUGAGUAACGCGUGGGAAUCUGCCCUCAGGAGGGGGAUAACGGCUGGAAACGGCCGCUAAUACCCCAUAUGCCGAGAGGUGAAAUGAAUUUCGCCUGAGGAUGAGCCCGCGUCUGAUUAGCUAGUUGGUGAGGUAAGAGCUCACCAAGGCAUCGAUCAGUAGCUGGUCUGAGAGGAUGAUCAGCCACACUGGGACUGAGACACGGCCCAGACUCCUACGGGAGGCAGCAGUGGGGAAUUUUCCGCAAUGGGCGAAAGCCUGACGGAGCAACGCCGCGUGAGGGAUGAAGGCCUCUGGGCUGUAAACCUCUUUUCUCAAGGAAGAAGAUCUGACGGUACUUGAGGAAUAAGCCACGGCUAAUUCCGUGCCAGCAGCCGCGGUAAUACGGGAGUGGCAAGCGUUAUCCGGAAUUAUUGGGCGUAAAGCGUCCGCAGGCGGCCUUUCAAGUCUGCUGUUAAAACGUGGAGCUUAACUCCAUCAUGGCAGUGGAAACUGUUGGGCUUGAGUGUGGUAGGGGCAGAGGGAAUUCCCGGUGUAGCGGUGAAAUGCGUAGAUAUCGGGAAGAACACCAGUGGCGAAGGCGCUCUGCUGGGCCAUAACUGACGCUCAUGGACGAAAGCCAGGGGAGCGAAAGGGAUUAGAUACCCCUGUAGUCCUGGCCGUAAACGAUGAACACUAGGUGUCGGGGGAAUCGACCCCCUCGGUGUCGUAGCCAACGCGUUAAGUGUUCCGCCUGGGGAGUACGCACGCAAGUGUGAAACUCAAAGGAAUUGACGGGGGCCCGCACAAGCGGUGGAGUAUGUGGUUUAAUUCGAUGCAACGCGAAGAACCUUACCAGGAUUUGACAUCCUGCGAAUCUCUUGGAAACGAGAGAGUGCCCUCGGGAACGCAGUGACAGGUGGUGCAUGGCUGUCGUCAGCUCGUGUCGUGAGAUGUUGGGUUAAGUCCCGCAACGAGCGCAACCCACGUCUUUAGUUGCCAGCAUUUAGUUGGGCACUCUAGAGAGACCGCCGGUGAUAAACCGGAGGAAGGUGUGGAUGACGUCAAGUCAUCAUGCCCCUUACAUCCUGGGCUACACACGUACUACAAUGCUACGGACAAAGAGCAGCAAGUUCGCGAGGACAAGCAAAUCUCAUAAACCGUGGCUCAGUUCAGAUCGUAGGCUGCAACUCGCCUACGUGAAGGAGGAAUCGCUAGUAAUCGCAGGUCAGCAUACUGCGGUGAAUACGUUCCCGGGCCUUGUACACACCGCCCGUCACACCAUGGAAGUUGGCCACGCCCGAAGCCGUUACUCCAACCCUUGUGGAGGAGGACGUCGAAGGUGGGGCUGAUGACUGGGGUGAAGUCGUAACAAGGUAGCCGUACCGGAAGGUGCGGCUG
RNAcentral lists this ribosomal RNA (1465 nucleotides) under Synechococcus sp. AG-673-F03. Its description in RNAcentral is "bacterial SSU rRNA". It matches the Rfam family "Bacterial small subunit ribosomal RNA". Lineage: Bacteria; Bacillati; Cyanobacteriota; Cyanophyceae; Synechococcales; Synechococcaceae. The record is from RNAcentral.